UACGGAAGGGGCAAGCGUUGUUCGGAAUCAUUGGGCGUAAAGGGCGCGUAGGUGGUUCUGUAUGUCUACCGUGAAAGCGUACGGCUCAACCGUAUUUUGUCGGUGGAAACUGCAGGACUUGAGGCUGGGAGGGGCUGGUGGAAUUCCCUGUGUAGCGGUGAAAUGCGUAGAUAUUGGGAGGGACACCGGUGGCGAAGGCGGCCCUCUGGACCGGUACUGACGCUGAUGCGCGAAAGCGUGGGGAGCAAACGGG
This 253-nucleotide ribosomal RNA is filed under the name uncultured bacterium. RNAcentral describes it as "partial 16S ribosomal RNA". It matches the Rfam family "Bacterial small subunit ribosomal RNA", at positions 524 to 776 of the family's 1533-position model. The record is from RNAcentral.